AUUGAACGCUGGCGGCAGGCCUAACACAUGCAAGUCGAGCGGAUGAAGGGAGCUUGCUCCUGGAUUCAGCGGCGGACGGGUGAGUAAUGCCUAGGAAUCUGCCUGGUAGUGGGGGAUAACGUCCGGAAACGGGCGCUAAUACCGCAUACGUCCUGAGGGAGAAAGUGGGGGAUCUUCGGACCUCACGCUAUCAGAUGAGCCUAGGUCGGAUUAGCUAGUUGGUGGGGUAAAGGCCUACCAAGGCGACGAUCCGUAACUGGUCUGAGAGGAUGAUCAGUCACCCUGGAACUGAGACACGGUCCAGACUCCUACGGGAGGCAGCAGUGGGGAAUAUUGGACAAUGGGCGAAAGCCUGAUCCAGCCAUGCCGCGUGUGUGAAGAAGGUCUUCGGAUUGUAAAGCACUUUAAGUUAGGAGGAAGGGCAGUAAGUUAAUACCUUGCUGUUUUGACGUUACCAACAGAAUAAGCACCGGCUAACUUCGUG
RNAcentral lists this ribosomal RNA (484 nucleotides) under uncultured bacterium. RNAcentral describes it as "partial 16S ribosomal RNA". It matches the Rfam family "Bacterial small subunit ribosomal RNA", at positions 30 to 507 of the family's 1533-position model. The record is from RNAcentral.